UCUUAAAAAUGAGAUCAACAGAAACCUAAAUUAAUUUUUAUUCUGAUCAGAGAGCACACAUGCACUAGCUCGCUUUCGCACUCUCUCUCUCUCUCUCUCUCUGUUAAAUUGCCUAUCCACAUACUCGGGAAAUUAUGUCCUGUUUUAAAUAUCUCAUUGGUGAGCAACAGACAGGAGGAGCCCCAAAUGUCAGACACUUGUCUGGCACACACACAUAGAGAAGCUGGCUCCGGCAGGAGCUCAAGCUGUGAGACUCAGCUAAUUCCUAUGUGG
RNAcentral lists this long non-coding RNA (273 nucleotides) under Homo sapiens (human). RNAcentral's name for it is "non-protein coding lnc-KCNV2-9:1". The record is from RNAcentral. Lineage: Eukaryota; Metazoa; Chordata; Mammalia; Primates; Hominidae.